RNAcentral lists this ribosomal RNA (412 nucleotides) under uncultured bacterium. RNAcentral describes it as "bacterial SSU rRNA". It matches the Rfam family "Bacterial small subunit ribosomal RNA", at positions 108 to 518 of the family's 1533-position model. The record is from RNAcentral.
GAGUAACGCGUAUCCAACCUUCCCCCUACUCAGGCGAUAGCCCGGUGAAAACCGGAUUAACUCCUGAUAGUUUCACUAGAUGGCAUCUGACGGUGAAUAAAGCUCAGCGGUAAGGGAUGGGGAUGCGUCUGAUUAGCUUGUUGGCGGGGUAACGGCCCACCAAGGCGACGAUCAGUAGGGUUCUGAGAGGAAGGUCCCCCACAUUGGAACUGAGACACGGUCCAAACUCCUACGGGAGGCAGCAGUGAGGAAUAUUGGUCAAUGGGGCGGAAGCCUGAACCAGCCAAGUAGCGUGCAGGAAGACGGCCCUAUGGGUUGUAAACUGCUUUUGUGCGGGAAUAAAGUCAGGGACGUGUCCCUGUUUGCAUGUACCGCAAGAAUAAGGACCGGCUAAUUCCGUGCCAGCAGCGGC